This 511-nucleotide ribosomal RNA is filed under the name Meyerozyma guilliermondii. RNAcentral's name for it is "eukaryotic LSU rRNA". It matches the Rfam family "Eukaryotic large subunit ribosomal RNA", at positions 84 to 600 of the family's 3401-position model. The record is from RNAcentral. Lineage: Eukaryota; Fungi; Ascomycota; Pichiomycetes; Serinales; Debaryomycetaceae.
UAGCGGCGAGUGAAGCGGCAAAAGCUCAAAUUUGAAAUCUGGCGCCUUCGGUGUCCGAGUUGUAAUUUGAAGAUUGUAACCUUGGGGUUGGCUCUUGUCUAUGUUUCUUGGAACAGGACGUCACAGAGGGUGAGAAUCCCGUGCGAUGAGAUGCCCAAUUCUAUGUAAGGUGCUUUCGAAGAGUCGAGUUGUUUGGGAAUGCAGCUCUAAGUGGGUGGUAAAUUCCAUCUAAAGCUAAAUAUUGGCGAGAGACCGAUAGCGAACAAGUACAGUGAUGGAAAGAUGAAAAGAACUUUGAAAAGAGAGUGAAAAAGUACGUGAAAUUGUUGAAAGGGAAGGGUUUGAGAUCAGACUCGAUAUUUUGUGAGCCUUGCCUUCGUGGCGGGGUGACCCGCAGCUUAUCGGGCCAGCAUCGGUUUGGGCGGUAGGAUAAUGGCGUAGGAAUGUGACUUUACUUCGGUGAAGUGUUAUAGCCUGCGUUGAUGCUGCCUGCCUAGACCGAGGACUGCGA